Long non-coding RNA from Oncorhynchus keta (chum salmon), 1662 nucleotides. RefSeq lists it as uncharacterized. The transcript has 3 exons. NCBI's taxonomy places the organism in Eukaryota, Metazoa, Chordata, Actinopteri, Salmoniformes, Salmonidae. The record is from RefSeq and is a predicted model, not a curated record.
CAGACAGACAGACAGACAGACAGACAGACAGACAGACAGACAGACAGACAGACAGACAGACAGACAGACAGACAGACAGACAGACAGACAGACAGAGGGAAUGUGUAAUUUCACUGCCACAGACUGAACUAAACCCUCCCCACCCCACCACUGACCAGGGUCAAAAGAGAGAGAGACAGAGGGAGAGACACAAAGGUCAGGAGACUUUUGGCUUUGCCUUACUAUUGUGGAUGAUUUUAUACCUUUUGAGUGUGCAGCACCAGCAAACUAAGUGACUAGAAUGUAGAUAUCAUUUACACCACUUCACCACAUAUGAAUGAAUGAAUGAAUGAAUUAAUGGAUGGACGAAUAAACACACAAUGCUUAUGAUUUUUAAAUGGAUGCUCAUUGAUGAUCAUUUCUCCUUCUACUUUACUACUUGUAUCUUGUGGUUUUCAGUGAUACUGGCAGCAUGCCCAUCUUUUAAUGACAUCAUACCUAUAUUUUAAUGACAUCAUACCUAUAUUUUAAUGACAUCAUACCUGUGUUCCAAUGACAUCGUGAAAUGAUUUUUCGGAGAAUGAAAACAUUGCUUCACAUUGUGAAUGUGUACAGUACAAAAGAAGGAUUUUUGCUCCACCAGAUAUGCUAAUUAUUCACACAACGAUAGGCUACAGACUGGAUGUAUUCACUGUCAGGAAAACAAACACAUGCUAGACGUACCUGCUGUAGCGUUGUGAUAGAGGGAACACUAUUGCUUACACACAGGGAUAAUAGUUGAAUUAUGAAUACGUAUUCAUCUUGGAACAUUGCAUAAACAAACAUUAAAUACAGUUUGUAUUGCGGACAUGAAAUGAGAAGUGUGCAGCUUGGUUAACAUACAGUUCUAGACUACAGUUGUUUGCAGUUAUGAAGACGUAUCCAGUCACAACACGUAGGUUGCAGAUAAACACGUAUUGAUCCUACUCCUGGGCUGAAAACGUGCUCAAUACAGGGAUGCAUUCUGUAACUAUCUCCUUUUCAUAGCUAUUUACAGUUACAUCAUGUAUCAUUUAUUCCAAUAAAAUGAUGUUUUCAUGUGUAUGUGACUGUCAAUCGAUCAAUCAAUGAAUGAAUAUGUGUGUGUAUAUGUAUGUUGUACUUCUGCACCGCAACCAUCUGUGCCACCAAGACUCAGACCUUUUUGCAGUUAGAGGUAGGUAGGAAGGGUUAUUGCAGACCUUUUUGCAGUUAGAGGUAGGUAGGAAGGGUUAUUGCAGACCUUUUUGCAGUUAGAGGUAGGUAGGAAGGGUUAUUGCAGACCUUUUUGCAGUUAGAGGUAGGUAGGAAGGGUUAUUGCAGACCUUUUUGCAGUUAGAGAUAGGUAGGAAGGGUUAUUGCAGACCUUUUUGCAGUUAGAGGUAGGUAGGAAGGGUUAUUGCAGACCUUUUUGCAGUUAGAGGUAGGUAGGAAGGGUUAUUGCAGACCUUUUUGCAGUUAGAGGUAGGUAGGAAGGGUUAUUGCAGACCUUUUUGCAGUUAGAGGUAGGUAGGAAGGGUUAUUGCAGACCUUUUUGCAGUUAGAGGUAGGUAGGAAGGGUUAUUGCCAUACUGCUCUAUGAGGGUACUAGCUUUAGGACCCAGCAAAGAGCGGGCUGUUCAUUUCUCUGUAACUUCAUUGAGAGAGGCAGAGAGAGAAAGGCAG